This 301-nucleotide ribosomal RNA is filed under the name uncultured bacterium. RNAcentral's name for it is "partial 16S ribosomal RNA". It matches the Rfam family "Bacterial small subunit ribosomal RNA", at positions 509 to 807 of the family's 1533-position model. The record is from RNAcentral.
CAGCCGCCGCGGGAAUACGGAGGGGGCUAGCGUUGUUCGGAAUUACUGGGCGUAAAGCGCACGUAGGCGGCUUGGUAAGUUAGAGGUGAAAGCCUGGAGCUCAACUCCAGAAUUGCCUUUAAGACUGCCGAGCUAGCAGGUGAGAGAGGUAAGUGGAAUUCCGAGUGUGGAGGUGAAAUUCGUAGAUAUUCGGAAGAACACCAGUGGCGAAGGCGGCUUACUGGCUCAUACUGGACGCUGAGGUGCGAAAGCGAGGGGAGCAAACAGGAUUAGAUACCCCAGUAGUCCCUGUCUCUUAUAC